UUUUAAGUGUGUAAAACCUUCCCAUUUCAUAACCAACCCCCUUACCUAGAUCUCUGACAUUUUUAUUAGUUUUUGAUUUGAUAAAACUUCUUAUUUGGUUUUUUUUUUCGCUUUUUAACCUUUUCUUUGGAUAAAUAAAAGUGCGGUGGCGACUCGAAUUGUAUGUUUACUUUUGGUUUAGUCAAUAAACCAUAAGGUAACG
RNAcentral lists this long non-coding RNA (202 nucleotides) under Lathyrus oleraceus (garden pea). RNAcentral describes it as "Pisum sativum (pea) long non-coding RNA (PSAT_LNC005116)". Lineage: Eukaryota; Viridiplantae; Streptophyta; Magnoliopsida; Fabales; Fabaceae. The record is from RNAcentral.